GACGAACGCUGGCGGCGUGCUUAACACAUGCAAGUCGAACGGUGAAGCCUUCGGGUGGAUCAGUGGCGAACGGGUGAGUAACACGUGAGCAAUCUGCCCUUGACUCUGGGAUAACUUCGGGAAACCGGAGCUAAUACCGGAUAUGACAUCUGGCCGCAUGGUCUGGGUGUGGAAAGAUUUAUCGGUCAAGGAUGAGCUCGCGGCCUAUCAGCUUGUUGGGGGGUAAUGGCCCACCAAGGCGACGACGGGUAGCCGGCCUGAGAGGGCGACCGGCCACACUGGGACUGAGACACGGCCCAGACUCCUACGGGAGGCAGCAGUGGGGAAUAUUGCGCAAUGGGCGGAAGCCUGACGCAGCGACGCCGCGUGAGGGAUGAAGGCC
This 382-nucleotide ribosomal RNA is filed under the name uncultured bacterium. RNAcentral's name for it is "bacterial SSU rRNA". It matches the Rfam family "Bacterial small subunit ribosomal RNA", at positions 28 to 416 of the family's 1533-position model. The record is from RNAcentral.